AGAGUUUGAUCCUGGCUCAGGGUGAACGCUGGCGGCGCGCUUAAUGCAUGCAAGUCGCGCGUGCCCGCGGCUUCGGCCACAAUGGGAAAGCGGCAGACGGCUGAGUAACGCGUGAGUAACCUACCCUCUGGUGGGGUAUAGCCGCGAGAAAUCGCGAUUAAUCCCGCAUAAGAUCUCCAGGCCCUGGUUUGGGGAUGAAAGCCUUCGGGCGCCGGAGGAGGGGCUCGCGUCCUAUCAGGUAGUUGGUGGGGCAAAAGCCUACCAAGCCGAUGACGGGUAGCUGGUCUGAGAGGACGACCAGCCAGAGGGGGACUGAGACACGGCCCCCACUCCUACGGGAGGCAGCAGCAGGGAAUCUUGGGCAAUGGGCGAAAGCCUGACCCAGCGACGUCGCGUGGAGGAAGAAGGCUCUAGGGCUGUAAACUCCUUUUCCAGGGGGAAGA
This 443-nucleotide ribosomal RNA is filed under the name uncultured bacterium. RNAcentral describes it as "bacterial SSU rRNA". It matches the Rfam family "Bacterial small subunit ribosomal RNA", at positions 8 to 448 of the family's 1533-position model. The record is from RNAcentral.